GACGUAGGGCGCGAGCGUUGUCCGGAUUUAUUGGGCGUAAAGAGCUCGUAGGCGGCUUGUCGCGUCGUCCGUGAAAACUUGGGGCUCAACCCCAAGCUUGCGGUCGAUACGGGCAGGCUCGAGUUCGGUAGGGGAGACUGGAAUUCCUGGUGUAGCGGUGAAAUGCGCAGAUAUCAGGAGGAACACCGGUGGCGAAGGCGGGUCUCUGGGCAUUACCUGACGCUGAGGAGCGAAAGUGUGGGGAGCGAACAGG
Molecule: ribosomal RNA, 253 nt
Filed under: uncultured bacterium
Lineage: Bacteria
Description: partial 16S ribosomal RNA
Rfam family: Bacterial small subunit ribosomal RNA
Source: RNAcentral